Molecule: long non-coding RNA, 265 nt
Filed under: Spirodela polyrhiza (greater duckweed)
Lineage: Eukaryota; Viridiplantae; Streptophyta; Magnoliopsida; Alismatales; Araceae
Description: long non-coding RNA (SPOL_LNC002684)
Source: RNAcentral
ACCAUUCCCUUAAACCUUAUGGCACGAUCAGAAUCAUGAUCAUUCAAGGAAUUUAAUGAUACCUCUAGAGUUGUCAGCUCACCCUCCAUGUUCUUUUUAGGAUUUGUUUCUUCCUCUUGGUCCAUAAAGUUGUCAUUCAGUAUUGUAAUCAUAUGAAUUUCUUUUGUGCAACUAUGUCCCGAAGUAUAUUUUUCUUCACAGAAGAAAUAUAGACCUUGAGCUUUUCGAUUUUGCAUUUUUGCAUUAGAUAUAGUGAUUGUCCUUU